AGAGUUUGAUCCUGGCUCAGAUUGAACGCUGGCGGCAUGCCUUACACAUGCAAGUCGAACGGCAGCACGGGAGCAAUCCUGGUGGCGAGUGGCGAACGGGUGAGUAAUGUAUCGGAACGUACCAUUGAGUGGGGGAUAACGUAGCGAAAGUUACGCUAAUACCGCAUAUACCCUGAGGGGGAAAGCAGGGGAUCGCAAGACCUUAUGCUCUUUGAGCGGCCGAUAUCAGAUUAGCUAGUUGGUGAGGUAAAGGCUCACCAAGGCGACGAUCUGUAGCGGGUCUGAGAGGAUGAUCCGCCACACUGGAACUGAGACACGGUCCAGACUCCUACGGGAGGCAGCAGUGGGGAAUUUUGGACAAUGGGGGCAACCCUGAUCCAGCCAUGCCGCGUGAGUGAAGAAGGCCUUCGGGUUGUAAAGCUCUUUCGGCCGGGAGGAAAUCGCAUCAGUUAAUACCUGGUGUGGAUGACAGUACCGGAAUAAGAAGCACCGGCUAACUACGUGCCAGCAGCCGCGGUAAUA
Molecule: ribosomal RNA, 522 nt
Filed under: uncultured bacterium
Lineage: Bacteria
Description: bacterial SSU rRNA
Rfam family: Bacterial small subunit ribosomal RNA
Source: RNAcentral